Long non-coding RNA from Bactrocera tryoni, 1409 nucleotides. RefSeq lists it as uncharacterized. Lineage: Eukaryota; Metazoa; Arthropoda; Insecta; Diptera; Tephritidae. The transcript has 2 exons. The record is from RefSeq and is a predicted model, not a curated record.
CAUUUUUUCCCGCCUUACCGCACCGAUAGCUACCAAUGCUUUGAAUUUGCCAAAUUUCGAUCUAGGUAUGGUUGAUUUUGUUUUUUCUUUAUGUAAAUCAUAUUAUUGUUUUCCUGUGCGCUCCUAAAACGCGAGACAAAUUUUCGAAGUCGAACAUUCUUCAUUCUCAAACAACAUGAGCUGUGAAAAUCAAUAUUAAAUGUUUCAUAAGAUGCUGGUAGACUGUGCCUGUGCCUAUUUCUUUGAGCUACUGCAUAUAAGAAUGCGUUGAAAUGUUCUCGAACUUUAAAACUUAGCUUUAUUAUAUGCAGUCGUCCACAGUUUUAUGGGUCCUGGUUGCAUAAUCUAAAGUUCCGUGGAUAUAAUAAAGACUGACUUUAUUUGAAAGUGUACAAAACCAUUACAAUGAUAAAAAACAAGAAAGUGCAAAAAUAAUUUCCAGGGUUGCAAGAAAACAGAUGUAAUGAUGAAAAAGGGCGGCGUAUCAGACCAGUACUAGGGCCUCGAUGAGUAUUGUAAAAAAAUGUACUAAUGGAAAUUAACUUGAACUGGUCGAAGUUGAAACGUCGUAACACUUCCAAGGCUUAUGAAUGACUUGAAACUUAUAGUAUACAUAUGUAUAUUGAACAUGCGUUGCAAGGAAGCAGAGAUUUUUCUUUUAGCGUCCCAAAUCGUUUGCAAAGGUAGCUGACUUCUUCAUUUAUAUUGCUUGAGAAAGUAUUAUGAGCUACUGAACUUAAAAAAUAAGGAAGAAUCACUGUGACCAACAGGUGCAAUUUUCGACUGAACAGGAAAUUGAAAAGUAAAGCCCUCUUUCGACAUACAAAGCCUAAACUCUACAAGUCUCAUCAUUCCCGUUGUACUAUAUGGUGAUGAGGGAUGGACAUUCGCAACAACUGAAAGAUAUUGCUAAAAAUGUGUGGUGCUUUGUAGCGAAUACCACGGUCAAUAGAUAGUUCAACGAUACAAGAGACAAUGUCUACGCUGGCUGGUCAUGUUGUUGGAAUGGAUAAGAACAAACCAGCUUUAAAAGUAUUCUAUGCAGUACCCGCCGGUGGAAGCAGAGGAAGAGAAAGUCCUCAACUCCGUUGGAGAGAUCAGAAGGAAAAGGACUUGGCUGCACUUGGUAUCUCCUAUUGGCGCCAAAUACCAAAAAGAAGAAAUAACUGCCGCACUUUAGUUAACUCGCCUUUGAUAAGCGGUGUUUACGCCUGCAAUAAGAAGAAUAAUAUUACAUUUUCCCUUUUUUAUUUCUUUUUUUGUAAAAUUUUCCCGAAAUAUUUCACAUGUUUCUAUUAAAAAUGAGCUGUAUCAAAAAUAUAUGUAAUUUAACGAUUUAUAAAAGUGCUAACUCCAAAACAAAUUGGAAUAAAUCGACUGAGCACAAGUACAUUUAAUUGCUGGUAAAA